Hyaena hyaena (striped hyena) is the source of this 277-nucleotide long non-coding RNA. RefSeq lists it as uncharacterized. The transcript is spliced from 3 exons. The record is from RefSeq and is a predicted model, not a curated record. NCBI's taxonomy places the organism in Eukaryota, Metazoa, Chordata, Mammalia, Carnivora, Hyaenidae.
CCCUUAUUCAAGCAGACCAAGAAAAUGUGAGACUUUCUACAUCUGUAUUCACUUCACAGCCAACUUGUUGACACAUGGACGGCAAAAUAGAUAAAAGGAAGAACGGUGAUUAUCCGGAGGCACGCCAGUGAUUGUGAACAGCCAGCUGUGUUUGUAUCGCCACCACCUUGCUAAAAGAUCGUUGUGGAGGCUGCACAUCCCAGAUCAUGGCCCCGGCACAUUCAGUAGCAGGUGAAGACCCACUUCCUGGCUCAAGGACAGCCGUCUUCUUGCCGUG